Molecule: ribosomal RNA, 260 nt
Filed under: uncultured bacterium
Lineage: Bacteria
Description: partial 16S ribosomal RNA
Rfam family: Bacterial small subunit ribosomal RNA
Source: RNAcentral
CACGUAGGGCGCGAGCGUUGUCCGGAAUUAUUGGGCGUAAAGAGCUCGUAGGCGGUUCGUCGCGUCGGCUGUGAAAACCCGGAGCUCAACUCCGGGCCUGCAGUCGAUACGGGCGGACUUGAGUUCGGCAGGGGGAGACUGGAAUUCCUGGUGUAGCGGUGAAAAUGCGCAGAUAUCAGGAGGAACACCGGUGGCGAAGGCGGGUCUCUGGGGCCGAUACUGACGCUGAGGAGCGAAAAGCGUGGGGGAGCGAAACAGGG